GGGCUCGUAGCUCAGACUGGGAGAGCACACGACUGAAGAUCGUGGUGUCCCGGGUUCAAAUCCCGGCGAGCCCA
This 74-nucleotide transfer RNA is filed under the name Candidatus Woesearchaeota archaeon. Its description in RNAcentral is "tRNA-Phe". It matches the Rfam family "tRNA". Rfam says of the family: Transfer RNA (tRNA) molecules are approximately 80 nucleotides in length. Lineage: Archaea; Nanobdellati; Candidatus Woesearchaeota. The record is from RNAcentral.